GAAAUACUCCCUCCGUCCGGAAAUACUUGUCAUCAAAAUGAAUAAAAGAAGAUGUAUGUAGAUGUAUUUUAGUUUUAGAUAUAUUCUUUUUAUCUAUUUUGAUGACAAGUAUUUUUGGAUGAAGGAAUACUUU
This is a non-coding RNA of Triticum urartu, 133 nucleotides long. Lineage: Eukaryota; Viridiplantae; Streptophyta; Magnoliopsida; Poales; Poaceae. The record is from Rfam.